GUGGGGAAUAUUGGACAAUGGGCGCAAGCCUGAUCCAGCAAUGCCGCGUGGGUGAAGAAGGCCUUCGGGUUGUAAAGCCCUUUUGUACGGGAAGAAAUCCUUUGGGUUAAUACCUCGGAGGGAUGACGGUACCUGAAGAAUAAGCACCGGCUAACUACGUGCCAGCAGCCGCGGUAAUACGUAGGGUGCGAGCGUUAAUCGGAAUUACUGGGCGUAAAGCGUGCGCAGGCGGUUUUGUAAGAUCGAUGUGAAAUCCCCGGGCUCAACCUGGGAACUGCAUUGGUGACUGCAAGGCUGGAGUGCGGCAGAGGGGGAUGGAAUUCCGCGUGUAGCAGUGAAAUGCGUAGAUAUGCGGAGGAACACCGAUGGCGAAGGCAAUCCCCUGGGCCUGCACUGACGCUCAUGCACGAAAGCGUGGGGAGCAAACAGGAUUAGAAACCCUUGUAGUCC
This 450-nucleotide ribosomal RNA is filed under the name uncultured bacterium. Its description in RNAcentral is "partial 16S ribosomal RNA". It matches the Rfam family "Bacterial small subunit ribosomal RNA", at positions 354 to 796 of the family's 1533-position model. The record is from RNAcentral.